This 497-nucleotide ribosomal RNA is filed under the name uncultured bacterium. RNAcentral describes it as "partial 16S ribosomal RNA". It matches the Rfam family "Bacterial small subunit ribosomal RNA", at positions 28 to 507 of the family's 1533-position model. The record is from RNAcentral.
GAUGAACUCUGGCGGUGUUCCUAACACAUGCAAGUCGAGCGAAAAGACUAGAAGCUUUCUCUCUUACCGUUAGCGGCUGACGGGUGAGUGAGACGUACAUCACCUUCUUCUUUUUCGUGGUUAACUUCGGGAAACCGCAUCUAAUACUGUAUAACAUGUUCACCCGCUUGGUGCAACAGUGCAUCUCCCUCUUGCCGUCACUUAUAGCUGGUUUCGCGCCGCAUUAGCUAGUUGGUAAGGUAACGGCUUACCAAGGCAACGAUGCGUAGCCGACCUGAGAGGGUGAUCGGCCACACUGGAACUGAGACACGGUCCAGACUCCUACGGGAGGCAGCAGUAGGGAAUCUUCCGCAAUGGGCGAAAGCCUGACGGAGCAACGCCGCGUGAGUGAAGAAGGUCUUCGGAUCGUAAAACUCUGUUAUUAGGGAAGAACAAAUGUGUAAGUAACUAUGCACGUCUUGACGGUACCUAAUCAGAAAGCCACGGCUAACUACGUG